UUGACUGCAAGCCCAAAAAUCUAUGGCAAGCCCAGAAAAUGUCGAAUUAUUGUCAACGGAAGAAGAAGAAAAUGUAUUCAAAUAUCCGGAGAAAUGAUGAAACCUAAAAGAUGAACCUGACAGAGAACGUAGAUAUUGAAGAAAUAAAGAUUCUAUGGAAAUGAGUAUGAGCUGAAUAGGAUAUUUCAUGUACUAAGAACUUGAGAUUCUCACGAAUUUUGUGAAAAGGAUAAGUUUUCAAUGAAAAUGUUUUUUUUCUAAUAACAACAGACACUUUUCAGACGAGGUAAAUAAUUGCGCAAGCAACUGUCAGAGGAAAGUUUGAAAAUUAUAACGAGCGAGGAAAGCGAGAUGUGCCCUCAACUCAAAAUUGUCUACGACUUGGUACGUGGAGAAUCUGUUUAGCCGUUUGUUACAGGUUAGCGUUGCAUAAUAUGUGAAAUUCUCUCGCGAUCACGCGUUUGGCUAAAUACUGGUAAAUGUACUGGGUCGUUGAGAAGUUGCACUUAUUCACUCACCUCUUCGCUUUUUAUAACCUCUUUGAACUCCCGUUUGAUUCGUUGCGCCGCAAUGUUCGCCAUGUCUCCCUAUCACUCCCAGCUACUCAAUACACUGACAUAAUUUACCGCCGAAUGUACGGAUGCCAGUAUUUACCUCGAUUUAAACAGCUCUUUUAAUUCAUGUACUGUUGUUGCAACCUGUAUUUUUUUUACCCAAAUAACCGCUGGCGGUUACAUACAAUUUGUCAUUCGAUCACAGCUAGCGCCACAUUGAUA
Molecule: long non-coding RNA, 776 nt
Filed under: Neodiprion pinetum (white pine sawfly)
Lineage: Eukaryota; Metazoa; Arthropoda; Insecta; Hymenoptera; Diprionidae
Description: uncharacterized LOC124212694
Source: RNAcentral